This 485-nucleotide ribosomal RNA is filed under the name Lunaceps sp. 1 DRG-2012. RNAcentral describes it as "partial 16S ribosomal RNA". It matches the Rfam family "Archaeal large subunit ribosomal RNA", at positions 1912 to 2666 of the family's 2987-position model. Lineage: Eukaryota; Metazoa; Arthropoda; Insecta; Psocodea; Philopteridae. The record is from RNAcentral.
CUCCUUCUGAAAGGAUAGAAGGUAGGCCCUGCCCAAUGCACUAGUAAAUGGCCGCAGUACCUUGACUGUGCAAAGGUAGCAUAAUAAUUUGGCUCUUAAUUGGAGUCUGGAAUGAAUGGGUUGACAGGCUUCCUGCUUUCUUCUUGAAAGCAUUCUUAAUUUUAGUUUCAGGUUAAAACUCCUGAAUGAAAGGGAGGGACGAUAAGACCCUAUAGAUCUGGCUCUUUCUCUCUUUUUAAGAAAAGAGAAAAGAGGUUUUUUGGGAUGAAACGAAAUAGAAGGUGAACAUUCGUUAACCAAAGUCUGAUUAGACAAAGAAAAGAUCCCCCUUGGGGGGGAUAAAAAGGAAAGUUACCUUAGGGAUAACAGCGUAAUAUUUACUGCUAGAACUUAUGGUUGUAAGUGCUUACGACCUCGAUGUUGAAUUAAGUUUACCUUUCUACGAAGAAAGAGAAAAGGUUAGUCUGUUCGACUAAUAAAAACUU